UUCCAGACUCCUACGGGAGGCAGCAGUAGGGAAUCUUCCACAAUGGGCGAAAGCCUGAUGGAGCAACGCCGCGUGGGUGAAGAAGGUCUUCGGAUCGUAAAACCCUGUUGUUAGAGAAGAAAGUGCGUGAGAGUAACUGUUCACGUUUCGACGGUAUCUAACCAGAAAGCCACGGCUAACUACGUGCCAGCAGCCGCGGUAAUACGUAGGUGGCAAGCGUUAUCCGGAUUUAUUGGGUUUAAAGGGUGCGCAGGCGGAAUGUCAAGUCAGCGGUAAAAUUUCGGGGCUCAACCCCGUCGUGCCGUUGAAACUGGCGUUCUUGAGUGAGCGAGAAGUAUGCGGAAUGCGUGGUGUAGCGGUGAAAUGCAUAGAUAUCACGCAGAACUCCGAUUGCGAAGGCAGCAUACCGGCGCUCAACUGACGCUCAUGCACGAAAGCGUGGGUAUCGAACAGGAUUAGAUACCCGUGUACAU
Molecule: ribosomal RNA, 473 nt
Filed under: uncultured bacterium
Lineage: Bacteria
Description: bacterial SSU rRNA
Rfam family: Bacterial small subunit ribosomal RNA
Source: RNAcentral